RNAcentral lists this ribosomal RNA (868 nucleotides) under Kalmusia spartii. RNAcentral's name for it is "SSU rRNA". It matches the Rfam family "Eukaryotic small subunit ribosomal RNA", at positions 241 to 1115 of the family's 1831-position model. Lineage: Eukaryota; Fungi; Ascomycota; Dothideomycetes; Pleosporales; Didymosphaeriaceae. The record is from RNAcentral.
CCUUGGUGAUUCAUGAUAACUUCUCAGAUCGCAUAGCCUUGUGCUGGCGACGGUUCAUUCAAAUUUCUGCCCUAUCAACUUUCGAUGGUAAGGUAGUGGCUUACCAUGGUUUCAACGGGUAACGGGGAAUUAGGGUUCGAUUCCGGAGAGGGAGCCUGAGAAACGGCUACCACAUCCAAGGAAGGCAGCAGGCGCGCAAAUUACCCAAUUCCGAUGCGGAGAGGUAGUGACAAUAAAUACUGAUACAGGGCUCUUUUGGGUCUUGUAAUUGGAAUGAGUACAAUUUAAACCUCUUAACGAGGAACAAUUGGAGGGCAAGUCUGGUGCCAGCAGCCGCGGUAAUUCCAGCUCCAAUAGCGUAUAUUAAAGUUGUUGCAGUUAAAAAGCUCGUAGUUGAACCUUUGGCCUGGCUGGCAGGUCCGCCUCACCGCGUGCACUUGUCCGGCCGGGCCUUUUCUUCUGGAGAACCGCAUGCCCUUCACUGGGUGUGUUGGGGACCAGGACUUUUACUUUGAAAAAAUUAGAGUGUUCAAAGCAGGCCUUUGCUCGAAUACGUUAGCAUGGAAUAAUAGAAUAGGACGUGCGGUCCUAUUUUGUUGGUUUCUAGGACCGCCGUAAUGAUUAAUAGGGACAGUCGGGGGCAUCAGUAUUCAAUUGUCAGAGGUGAAAUUCUUGGAUUUAUUGAAGACUAACUACUGCGAAAGCAUUUGCCAAGGAUGUUUUCAUUAAUCAGUGAACGAAAGUUAGGGGAUCGAAGACGAUCAGAUACCGUCGUAGUCUUAACCAUAAACUAUGCCGACUAGGGAUCGGGCGGUGUUUCUAUUGUGACCCGCUCGGCACCUUACGAGAAAUCAAAGUGUUUGGGUCU